This 15069-nucleotide long non-coding RNA is filed under the name Oryza sativa (Asian cultivated rice). Its description in RNAcentral is "long non-coding RNA (OSAT_LNC000545)". The stretch from base 2708 to 2913 matches the Rfam family "MIR812 microRNA precursor family". The record is from RNAcentral. Lineage: Eukaryota; Viridiplantae; Streptophyta; Magnoliopsida; Poales; Poaceae.
AGCUCCAGGAUGAGCAGCUGCUCCUGCGGCGUGAUGUUGCCUCGCCGGAGGUCGGGGCGGAGGUAGUUCAGCCACCGGAGCCGGCAGCUCUUGCCUGUGCGUUUCAGCCCUGCAUGACAACAACCAAAAACCAAGAUUAAUUUUUCUCUUCACGUCACAUCAAAAUAUUCACAUGUAGUACACCAUUGCUAAAACAUAGUAUGCAGCAACUAAUCAAUUAUAUACUAAUGCAGUUAUACGCAUACGACGACGGCAGGAUGGAUGAUGUAACGGGGGAGGGAUGAGCAACUAAAAAUAUCCCUAUGAACAAUGCUAGCUACGCUGCUAACCACUAAAAAUUCUCUCCCCUUUCCCUCUCACUCACUAUAGCUUCUAGCUUAGCUGGUUGGCUGCUAGAGAACUCAGGGUAGACUCGUAGCUAUCUGUGUUUCCAGAAAUCAGCAUGUAGAUGCAAGAGCGACUGGUACUUUGCGUCCUAUAAUUGCUCAUCAGGCUAAGCAUGUACGGACACUCAGCUCAUGGAAUUGAUCGAUGUGUGCGUGCAUGUAAUUUAUGGUGGAAUUGGGAGCUCGAUCGAUCGAGAUCGCGAUCCUACCUGCUGAUCGGGCGAGCGAGUUCCAGCGGCCCUCGCCGUGCGCGGCGAUGUAGUUGACGAGCAGGAGGUCCUCCUCCACCGUCCACGGCCCGCGACGCAGGUCGCCGCCCAUCACCUCCUCCUCGCUGCUCGCGUCCCUCUCGUGCGCCAUGUCCAUCGUCGACCGAUCCGGAUCAAAAUCCCUCCCUUUCGAGUCUCGAUCGAUCCUCGCGGGCCAGUCGAUUGAUCGGAUAGAUCAAGCUAGUAGCUAGAUCGAGCUCAGGAGAUUCUGGUUGUUGUGCUUUGGUAGAGGGGUACUAUAUAUGCGCCGUUGCUGUGCUCUCUGGAUAGAUGGAUGGAUGGAUGGAUGUGUGCUGCGAUGAAACUGGCGGGAGACGGGGAGGGAGGUGUCGGGGUUUAUAUAGACGGGAGGAGCGCGAGGAGGAAGAAGAAGAAAGAAGAAAGAGGCGGGUAGGCUGGGCUGGACGACUUGGAAAGAAAGGACCAUGUGGGGGAGAACGCCGCAACCGGGGAGAUUAGUUUACGCCUUUUUUGAAGUUUUUUUUUCCCUUCUUCUUCUUUAAAAGCCAAAAGUUUAGGCGAUUAACCCCCAUCGUGGUUAAUUAGGGAUAAUCAUGCGAUUAGGAUUAAUUAACCACGCCGCUAAUUUAAUCGCCCGCGUACGUACGUACACGGGUUGGAGAGACUCGGGGGACUUUUGCGGUGGGUUUGACCCGUUGACUCGUCCAGCUGUACAGGCGUACAGCUCACUCGCGCGCGCUACACGCGCUCGCGCCGUCUGCCUACGCGGGCCUCUGCCGCUGGGGCCCACCUGGGUCCAUUUCUGUCAGCCAGUUGGGAGCUACCUCAGCUUCUAGUUCCGGUGGGAAAAGAGAUACGGAGUAACUACGUAUACCUUAUAGCCAUGGAAUACACAACUGAUGAUGGUACAGAUAUACUGCCACUAGCGUAUACUACUACUUACUACUACUAGCAGUAUUGGAGCAUCUGUGGCAAAUGGGCACAAUAAUUGCUGCUGCACAAAUCACAAAUACUAGUACGUAUACUAUCGGUAGUGUAGUACACCGGUACGGACAAGUAGUGGUAUUAUCGCAAACAUGCGUGUACACCUCUAGUACAGUGCGUCUGUGCAUCACCAUGGUUCUACACUCCAGUCGUAGGUGGUAGCUGGAGUAUAUUAUAAAAUAUCAGGGCAUCCACAAUAGUUAUCUAUAGACUCUCUAUAAGAUAUCCAUAUCAGUAUAUUUUCCUACUUGAAAGAGAUUAAAUGAAGAGAGAGAGAGUAAAACUAUCUAAUAACUUGGAGAUAGUCUAUAGAGAAAAACGAGGUAAUGGAUGAGAGAGCUAUAGAUAUCCAUGUAGACAUACUAUUGGGAUGAUUUACUAUUAGUCUAGUCUAUUGUUGAGAUGUAUAUAUUUUAUAGAGAGCACCUUACUUUACCAUUGCGGGUGCUCUCAGGUUAUAUAUAGGGUUCACAUAACCGCUUGUGAAACUUGGAGGUUUCAAAGAUGGAUAGAGUUGAUGAUCCGCUUAGUAAGCCAACAGAAGUUAAUAAAAUUAAACCAAAAUUUAAACUAUCUGACAAUUUUUUGAAUUUAUGUGGUUUUGAAAGGACUCCGUGUGCGAAAGGGCUUGUAGCCUAAUGGUUACAAGAGCCUCAGUAGCACCUGAGGUCCUGGGUUCGACUCUCCAUGAGAGCGAAUUUUCCAGGAUUCAACAGCGUUGUGCUUUCAGUGGUAGGCGAUGUUUGUAAACCUGGUUAUAAGUCCUAUCCUAUCCGAGGUGUUUGGAGCUAGCACAUAAACUUCAGCUGACACCAUAAGAGGUGUAUGAGAUUAUGUACUAUUUUCAGUCAAGAAUAUUUGAUGUUAACGUUGUUAUAUUAGUGGCACUACUGUCAAAUUUUAUCGACUAAAUAAAUUACUAUCUUAUUAAAAAUAUCGUAUUAAUUGGAUAAAGAAUUUGUUGGAUUAUAGUGAGUCAUGAUUAAAUUAAUUGUGUUACAUACGUACAUCUCUCUAAGAGUUAUAUACCAAAUCGGAUUCUACACUUAAAUUUAGCAUAGCUCAAUAUUGCACACAAAAACAAGCUACUUACUUCCUCCGUAAAAAAAAAAGACAAACCAUGAAUUCCCGUGUCAACGUUUGACUGUCCGUCUUAUAUGAAAUUUUUUUAUAAUUAGUAUUUUCAUUGUUGUUAGAUGAUAAAACAUGAUUAAUACUUUAUGUGUGACUUAUCUUUUUAAUUUUUUUCAUAUUUUUUCCAAAUAAGACGGACGGUCAAACGUUAGACAUGGAAACCAGAGUUUGUCUUUUUUUUUUUUUAUGGGACGGAGGGAUUAUGUGUGAUGUCUGAAAGAAGCCAGAAACUUCAGCUGCCAACCCAGUAGAUGAGAUUGCUUGUACAUAUUGAGCAGCAAAAUUGACUUGAUCAGUCUCAGAAUUUCGACUAUUCCAACCAGGAGAUCAUUGUUGGUGGCCGAAACGUUCGGCAAAUGUUCAUCUCAGAGCCACCGCCUCUUCGCCGAGCUUUCCCCGUAUGAGCUCCCCAGGUCCCCUCUGCGCCGCGCCGCCGCCUUAUCUAUCCAUCAGGAAGAAGAAUAUCCCGAAAGAUCUUCGCAUGAUUUGCGACGAUCGAGACGAACAAGAUCGCCUCACCUCUCCAGACGCGUGCAGCUGCAGCAAAAGCCUAGCUGGCUGGCUAUAGCCGCUGCAUGCUACGGCUAAACUGAUCGAUCGAUAUCGACAGCGAUCUGUAAUUCCCCUGCACACACACACAACACCCCCUCACGCGUCAAUUAAUACACAUCGUCCAGACGACGUUACGUACGUACAUAUACGCGUUUGUCACACUAGGGCGGCAGCAAUGCAUUUCCGCUCGAUCGAUCGAUCGAUCGAUUCAACUUUCGCGGUGCAACAGUGUGAAAAUUGCUGUACAACAGCAGGCAGCAGCUAAAGUUGAUAUACACAGCGCCCCCCGCUGCACUGUUUCCACCGUACAUCGCGCGCGCGAGGAGGAGGAUUUUUGACCCAUUUUGCUCGGAUUUUAGCUCCGACAAACCGAUCGAUCGAUUGACACCGCGAGCGAUGCGAGAACCAGCGGUUUUUUUUGUCAAGACGUGGAAGACAAACUCCACACAUGCGGUUUGUUUUUUCAAAACAAGAUAAUUGAAAGGUACUAGUAAAUCGGUACAAGUGUUCUAGUAUUAAUUGGGCGGAGUCGUCCUUGACUAUUUAGGCUGCGUUCGUUGUGAUGAGUUAUGGGGGAUUGGGUGAGAAAAGGACAUCGUAUUCCGCGUGCACGCUUCCCAAACUACUAAACGGUGUAUUUUUUGCAAAAAUUUUCUAUAGGAAAGUUGCUUUAAAAAAUCAUAUUAAUCCAUUUUUAAAAUUUAAAAUAGUUAAUACUCAAUUAAUCAUGUGCUAAUGGCUCACCUCGUUUUGCGUAUCUUCCCAAUCUUCUCAAUCCCCCUCUCCUCAAACUCACCCUUAGUACUACUAGUAUAGAGAUGAUGGGAGAGUCAACCCCAACUGGCAAGAGUCAUAUUCUCUCAUUGAUCUGCCGGGGUCUGUGUGAAACAAAUUUAAAAGUCCCAAGUUGCAGCUUUGUAUACGCAGGAAAAAAACGGAUGCUGAGAAGAAGAGAUCGGUGUGGUCGGAUUCCACACCGGGGUUGAAAACUUUGGCAGCUUGAAUUGGAUUCUUAUGUGCCGUUUUUUCAACACAUGGAGGUGCUGUUUUUUUAAAUUUAUUUUCCAACUCUCUGUUUCUAUUUUAUCCCCUGUUUUUUCAACACAAAUCAGUUUCAGGAUGGUACACUUGCUCACUUGCUUGAGAAUCCGGUUUGUUUUUUAAGCUUUGACAGGCUGCUGCAGCGGUAGAGUAGUAUAGUAUUGUUUUUAUUUCGAACGGUCAGCAGUAUAGUAUUGUUGGUUUGGAUUUUGUCCAUGCACUUGGCGACUUGUAAAUUUGUAAUUUUAAACGAGAAACCGGACCAAAUCUGCCAAUCAGAUGGCGUCCACGGUUUGAUUCCCCUGCCAGCUUGGCCUAGUCUGUUUUGUAUUUGCAGAGCUAUGCUGAUUGCUGUAGUUCUAGUAGUUGUAGUAGCUCGCAAAUAAAGGUCAAAGUGUUUGCUGAGUUGGACUGGCGUGCUCGUUGACCCCCAACUACGGCCAAGGCAAAGCCACUUGUGGUUAAUAUAUUCAUAAUAUUUCUGUUCUUAUGCGAGAGGUCGAUCGAUCUAAUCUAUGUCGAUCACUGUCUUCAUGUGACCUGCAGCAACGCAUAUGCGUACAACAGUUCGUGUCCGUGAUGGUCAGUACAUCGAACAUUGCUCUCGUUUUGGCUCUUCACGCACAUUCUCAUGUGCGUUUUUUUUUAAAUGUUGGAGUGUACAAGUAAAUACUCGUCCUAUCUUAAAAUAAAGGAAAAAAAGUUCGGAUAAUCUUCUAGAAUAAUCGUGGAAGUAUGAAUUAUCCUUCUCAAUUUUUCAUACAGGACGAAUUACCCCUCCUCUCACUCUACAGUGGUUUUGAUUCUACAUGGCACACACACACAUAGUAGUCCAGUCAACAUAAAAAUAAAAAAUGGUGAGGCCCACUUAUCGGUUAUGUCUUUUCUCUCGAUCACCACAUGUGGGUCCUACCUUUUUUAUAUUUUCAUAUUGACUGGACUGCUACGUGUCACUAUUACAAAAACAGUCAAAUAAGGUGUUGGUUGGGAACCGGCUAUAGGUGUCGGUUUUCCAACCGUUACCUAUUGGCCGGCAUCUAUGCGAAUCAUAUAGUUGCCGGUUUAAAGGUGCCGGUUCUUUAUUUUUUAAACUGUGGGAGGUCGGAAAAGGUUAAUAGGCGUCGGUUUUAAAUAAAUCGACACCUAUAAACCAGUCCCUAUGAGGGUUUUUGUAGUAGUGUGUGUCACGUAGAAUCAAAACUGCUCUGGAGUUUGUUGAGGAUUAAUACAUCUGGUAUAAAAAAAAAUUCGAGAGUAAAGAAUGAUUUUUUUAAUUGAGGGGGGUAAUUCGUAUUGCCACAAUAGUUGAGGGGUAAUUCAGAAUUUUUUAAAAAUAUAAGAAUCAAGAUGUAUAGAUUCGUAUAUAAAAGUUGAUUUUUUUCCAUAACAAAGGAAGUAGGGCAGUUUAGUAGAUACGGUCAAGUUGUGUAAUGCAACGAGAUUUCAAACUUUUUGUUGCACGGAAUUGGACUCUACCUUGAAAUUUUCUAGUAUUCCAAAUAUAGACAAAAUAUCCACACUACCGAACCCUAUGGAUUUAUUUUACUGUAGCUUAUAUUGGAUAAUAUACAACUUUUGGGAUUGAUAUUGUGAUCAUAGUGAGAAGGCUUGUUGCUUAGGGUAAAAAAAAUAUUUAAAAAGGAUAUUACCCAGGUGUACAGCAUAACCACUUCUGACCAUGAUUUUUCCUUCCAAGAACUUCUAGAUCUGUAGUACCUCCGGUUCCUAACCAAAAAACAAACAAACAAAUUUGUAGCCACUUGAUCAGAGUUUAUAAACAAAUUUGUAACCGCAAAAUUAAUUAAUAUCGAUCACAUCGUACUUGCCUUGAACUCUCAAUCUAAUAAUUUUCUAAAGUUAAAAUAGUAAUAACCAGCAAAUUAUAAACUCAAAGUGGACUCACUAUUAAUAAACAUAAAAUUUAAUAUGGUGUGAGGUCUUAAUUUUAUUUUAUUUCUUAAUAAAAUGAUUUCUAUAUUAAAAAUAUUAAAUAUAAAAUUGCACUUGGCUUGAGUCUUGAUUUUAGUUUAAAUUUGGUAAUUUCAAAAGUCAGAAUCUAUUAUAUGAAAUUGUACAUUUCUUGGACUAUAAUUUUAGUAUGAUAGUACCAAUUUAAUUCCAAAAUUCAGUAUUAAUGGGCAAACUGUAAUUGAGAUGAUUAAAUUAUUCUUCUUUUAUUCUAACUGUAUAUUUUCGAAGGUACAAAAGCCAGCGACGAAUCCUUAACCUUACUGAAUCCCUGCUAAAUACGCACCCUCAUCAAGUCAUCUGUGCAUUGUUUGUACCAACCAGGAUUUAAUCCAUCUUAUAUAAAUGAGGUUUGUCAUGCAUAUGCAUCCUUUAUAAAUGAUCCAAUUAAAAUGGAUGUUCAAAUUUAUUUUCUGUUUCUCCGAUCAAUAUGUGAUUGUGCUCGAGAUUUCCAGUUGAUAUACUUCCUCCAUCCAACUGUCCAUCUUUUAUUAUGUAUUUUUAUAAUAUUUUAAAAGAUGAUAUAUUAAUUACCAAAGUGCUUUGCAUGCCACAUAUAACCAUCCUUACUUUUACUGGAUAAAAAAACAAAUUUAUUUCAACUAAAAAGAUACGCGGCGAGAUUUUUUUAGUUGAUCUUAUCAAGUCGUUUCCUUUCAACUUUCUUUUUUGCAGAUGGGAAAAUGACGAGUCGCCUGAGUUGAGGAGGAUAAGCUGCUGUGGCAGCCUGGCAGGAGGCCGGCAUCACGUAUACAGGCACGACCACAUGCAGAGGACAACAGUGGAACGUUGAUUCCGACCACCCAUUUUGAUGACACGUGGAAAAUCUGCAUGCAUGGGGACUAAUAAAAAAUAAAAUAAUGCAUAGAUAUGCACUGGGGGCGAUCUCAGCCACAAUAAUCUUUUCGGUGCCUAAAUUAUGUAAAACCCCCCGUUUUUCUCAUCAAUAUCGUUUCGCUUUUCGGCGCCCAGUGCUUCUUUAUGGACUAUGGUACUUGUGAUCAUUGAUCGACCACUCGCCGUUAGAAGAAUGUUGAUGAAGUGGAAAUCCGGUCCAUUUCCCCCUUUUUAUAUAUAUCGUAAUGUUUUAUCCACUAAUGCGGCGCAUUCCAACGGAAAUUAAAGAAAAAAAAUUCAUAGUUACCAUUCUUAAUAUUAAUCUAAGAAUUCAUAUCCAUGUUGGAAUUUUAUAUCUUCUCCUCAUGCUACUGUAGUUGAAAUAAAUAUUCACCGUUUGAUGGUUAUAUGUAGGAGAUAGUGGUGGUAGCUAGCUAUGGUAGGAGAUGAUAAUUCAUCAUUCACCAUUACCACUUAUCUCUCCCUUCGAAAAUAUAAUCAUUUUUAGAUUUCGACACGGUCUUCGAGAUACUACUUUGACCAAUAAUAUGUAUAGAAGUAAAAUAUUUUAAAUAAAAAGAGUUGCAUAUUAUGAUAAUUUGUUUAAUAAUAAAUCUAGUAAUAUCAAUUUUACAUGAUAGAUCUUUUCUAUUUUUUUACUUUUAAUAGUCAAAGUUAAAAAUAUUUGACUUGGCACUAUACUAAAAUACUUAUAUUUUGGGACGGAGAGAGUAAGUCUUUUCAAGGAGUACAAAUUUUUCUAGUUUAUGCUUUAUCGUCCAUCAAAUAUUUACAGAAGUGGUUAAAAAAUAAUGUAUAUGUAGCAAUGAUAAUCGAAAUUCCUAUCUCUCAACGCUGAUAAAGUGAAGGAUGAUGUAAUGUAGGGUGAAAUUUAUUUAUUUUUUCUUUUGUAGAGGUGGGGAGGACAACGACGACAUGGGUGAGCUCGUGAUCUACCUCUUCUCGAACGUGGUAUGGUCGUGGGAAGGAGAAGAUAAGACGAUAACGUUACUAUUUAUGCACAAAUCUUGAUGCAGUUUACAAAAUCAAGUGAAAAUUUGCGGUAUUUUUGGGUGAAACUAGACAGUAAAAAAAAAAAAACUUAUACUGCUACGCGCUACUACCUACAGGAUGAUUCCAAGUUUGUCGCCCCAUUUUAAUGAUCAAUAACACACAGUGAGUCCGCUAGUUUCUUAGCCUUAAACUAAGGAAAGUAUCAUGUAUGGCCUGUCUUUUGUGCAACCUAUAGCUAGCUCGUGUGUUCCAUUGGCAAGGCGACAGCUCCGGUCUCAAAAGAGCCCUCCAAGGACAAGGAGAGCCGGCCGCAAUGGCGAUCGAAUAGUACCGUCCAUUAUUGUAGAGUAUACAUGUACUAUCUCCUAAACUACUAUUGCUACUUCCAUAGCUGAAGUUAAAGUGAAGCCACAAUUAGUUUUUUUUUUUCAUGGCAAUCGUAACCCACGUUUUCGAAUCCCAGAACUAAAAAAAAAGUACAAUAUAAUCUCGCUGAAAAACUAAUCGUCGUGGCCUCAUAUAAAUCAGGCACGAUUGCGUCGGCGACGAGUAAAUUAAAAUAAAGAGUGCAGAGACAGAGAGAGAGAGAUGCAUGGCUAGCUCGUGCUUAGCUUUUUCGUCAGUGUUAUGUUGCAGCUAGCUAUAAUAUAUAUAUAUAUAUAUAUAUAUAUAUAUAUAUAUAUAUAUAUAUAUAUAUAUAUAUAUAUAUAUAUAUAGACAUACACAAGUAUGUAACGGCUAAUGGCUUAGUGGGAGACACAUAAGAUUAGCAGCGUGUUGUUAGUGGAAAAGCGAUCGAGAGCUCAUGCAUAAUUAAUUAGUGACAAACGUGUUAAUGUUCGAUCCAGGAAGCACUAGUUUGUGGGUCAGUAUUUGUAGGCUUCAAAGGGCUCAGGGGUACAAAAGCUGCAAGUAUAAUAACCUGUUUCAGGUAGUUUCGGCCGAGCACUUUACGUGUUCCAAUCCAGGAGGCGGCUGCACAUCAUCGACAAAGUCGUAGUAGAAUUAACCUGGGAAGUGUUCUGUUGAUCAGCUUAUAAUAUAGAUCACAUGCAUAUCUCUACUGGUUUUAAUUUUGUCUUAAUAUACGCAUGACAAGUUAUUGCCAGUUCUGGUGCUAGCAAAACAGCAUAUAUAUAUAUAUAUAUAUAUAUAUAUGGUGAAAUGUUCGUUUAGAAUCUCAAUUCAUGGGCGUUAACUAGGAGAUAUGGAACGAAAGGAACCGGAGAACUUUCCAACACAAGGAGUUGCCGGCGCUAACUCUGCUAGCCAAGAUAAAGGAGGAAGCAAAAACAUGGGGGUUGGCGGGCGCAAAAAAUCUCGCCGCCUGGUUGACAAUGUAACUGCCUAUAGUUAGGGCCACGGCCCUAGGUUUUUUGUUUUCUGUACUUUAUCCUUGUUUGUACAGUUUUCGUCUCCUCUAUUCAAUGAAAUUGACGGCCUCGUCGAUUCGUUCAAAAAAAAAUUCAUGGGUAGAUGCUACAAAUUAAACAAAAUAAAAUGCAACAGAUAGUGUCCCAAAAGGGGCACUACAUGUAUAGGAGCCAUUUUAUAUAUAGAUGCUGAAAAUAAGGUGUUAAAAAAUGAAAAGAAAUCCGGGAUGAAAGGAACAUCCCUAAGCUUAAGAACAGGCUCAAGAAUAUGUCCCUUAAAGCAAGCACCACUUGUUUGAUAUGCUUAGCAUCAAGUAGGACAACAAUUUUUUUUAUAAAAAGUUUCUAUGUAGGCACAUCAUCUUGGCUAGCUAUUCCUUCCAUUUUUUUUCUCCUACUGAUGUACUGAAACACCAACAAAUUAAAGUUGCUCAUAUCCUUUUCCAACCCUUUUCCUUUUUCUUGUUUUUGUUUUCUUGCUUACUCCUUGAUUCGAGCAUUUUAUAUCAUUGCAUUGAAACUAACCAACCGCGUCCUACGCGUCUGCUUGCUAGUAUAUGCAAAAAAAAAAAACUUUGAUGAAAUCUAGAAGUUGCGUUUCAAAUUAAGCCACAGAGAACAUAUUCCAAACUUUACACACUUCUGCUUUAAUGAUGUGGAAACUAAAUAACAACUUGAGCUCUGUUUUGGACCCUGCCUGAGCAUAUAUAAUCAUCUGUGUAGAACUUGACUUCUUAAUGCAAUGUGUCAGUAUCAGCACAGCAUCAGCUAAAAAAAUUACUAAUCAGAAUGAAGAAUAAAAACAUGGUGCACUGACUUUUAUGCUUGCUUGCCUACUCAAUGCUCCAUGAAGCCAACUUUUUUAACUAUUGGUGUACAAAGCUGAAGGGAACUUUGCAUUUGCAUUGUACAUACUGGUCCUCCUUUUCAGCACCAGUACUCCUACCACUGUUGGUUCCAAUGGUAAAGCAAGCAUAUAAACUGGUGCCUCCCAUGAUGACUAAGUUUAGAUAAAACAUGAAAAGCUUUUUACAACAUGUGAUUGGAUUUGUCUAAAUACUCUGGAUGAAGCAUCUGAUCUGAGGAUGUUCUGAGGGCCGGGACUCCUAUUUCGGAGUUAAAAAGCUUCCAGGAGAGUACAAUAAUUGGGGAUUCUGUUUUAACCUUAUCAACAUUAACAUCAAAAAGAAAAGUUUUGGAGGUAUACAAAAUAUUAUCAUUAUUUUAGCUGGUACUAAUAAUGUGGAUGAUCUUUUAAUAAAAAUUUGUAUGUAAAGGUCUACGAAUUGCGGCAGAUUUAGAAAGUAUAUGGGACAUUCUUAUGCUGCAAGUUAGCAAGUAUGCGCAAAAAAAAAAGGUAGUAUGAUUAAAGAAGCCCAAUUGGGACAAAACUUUGUGUCAUUAGGCUCCAUCAAGACCGUACAUUACAAUACUUGUAUAUUUGCAUGAACUACGAUCGAUAUGGCAACAUAUGCGUACAUGCGAAAAUAUAUUUAUAGACGCAAUGACAAGUGUCUGCACACAAUAGAAUACUUGGAUUAGAGGAGUGGCCACUAGCAUAGUGACAAAAAGCUUUAGAAAGUUCUUCCAAAUUAAAUAAAUGUUGUGUGAACUAUUAAUUAGUUUACAUUAUCAUGUAGAUGAGAGCAUACAUAUUCAAAAACUGGCGGAAUGCCAUCUACUUAUCAUUCUGAAAAUAAAAUGCACCAAAACGAUUUUACAUCAUUACGGUGCAACGGAAUUCUUGCAAGCAUCAUUGCUGAAAGAUCAGCGAGCAAAUGCACGGUAAAUUUCUUUAUUAUGCUAUAGCUAUAUAUGUGGGAUUCCCCUAACCUGGUGAAUUAAAAUGGAUCAGAGAGCCCUCGUAGCCAUAUGCCAUAGGAAAAGGAUAUCACCAAGAUAAAGGACACUUAUCCACACGACAUGAAGCUUUCAUUCAUAAUGAUGAUUCUGGCUGCAAAUAUAUAUGACAAAUUGCAGCCGUUCGUGUAUGACAGUAACCAACGAUAUUUGCAUCCUUCUCCCUCCAAUUGCACAUGGAUAUGUAUAUUUUUAGGAGUCGACGUCGACGUAAUUAGCUCAGCAAAGACUCCUACAUGGUAGUUUUUACCAACCUACUCGAGAUCUCCUAUCAUGAGUCGCCAUUAAUCUAGCUGAUGAUCAUGACUAGCUCCCUUUGCAUUUUAAAGGAUGCUCUCUCUCAAAUCUCUCUCUGCCAAUGCUAAUGGCUGCCACGGCAUUAACCAGCAGUUCAGCUGCUACUUAGCACACCUUUUUUCCUCCUUAUAUUACUGGCUCUAUAUAUCUGAUCACACAUUCACACCAAGUGUUCGCUAAUGGCUAGUGUUAUAUGGACAUAUGGUCCCCCUCCUGCCUUAAUUAUCCAUUCUUUUCGAGUGAUUAAGCAGCAACUGGAAGUAAGUUAAUUAAGCUAUAUAAUUGCGCAACGAGAAGAGAAGAGGUCUAUGUGCGUUCUAGAACCGCACUAUUCUCAUGGUGCGCGCGCGUGCGCGAGGCGGACAGCGACGAUCACGCGCGCGCGUCGAACGCGUGAGCGCGCACUGCUCGCUCUCGCCGGUGUCCGGACCCGCCGGGCCGUCUGGCCGCCGCCUCCGCCUCCGCCGGCGGCCCGUAUGAACGCUCCGGCCUUUACAUUUAUCGUGUUGAACCUGUCAAACUUGCAUUCACGCCUCCCGCAAGGCGGCGAGGCAGUCGUAGCAACCUACUGUCCCGUCUUAAAAUAGAAGUAUUUUUAGCAUAGUGUCAAAUUAAAUAUUUUUAACUAUUAAUAUAAAAAACUCAAUCAUGUAAAAUUGGUGUUACUAGAUUUGUCAUUGAACAAACUAUCAUAAUAUGUAACUUUUUUUAAAACAUAUUACUUUUAAUAAAUAUUAUUGGUUAAAAUAGCAUCUCGAAGACUGUGUCGGAGUUAAAAAUAUUUAUAUUUUGAGGCCCCACAUGUCAGCCUCCUUUAGGUCGUCUCUUUUUAUAUCCUAUACGUGUUGGAACCGGCCGGCUACGGAUGCGAUGCACGACUGUUCCACUAGUAUAAUCUAGCGUUUGUAUUAGUGCAUAGUUAACGGUGGCUAGUGACUAAUGUACUGUACAGUACGUGUGGUCUGCUAAUUGCUCAUCGCUAAGCUAGCUCGACCCUGACACGAUUAUAUUGAGCCGAAUUAGCGUCUUUGACUCGAACUGCUUUCUUCUACAGUUCUGCUGCUACACGUAUACGUACUGGUGCUGGCUGCCAGUCUGCCACGAUCGGACGUACACUACAUUUGUUUUAUCUGCAAACCAUUAAAAAAUGCGUACAAAGUCAGUACAAGUCGCCAGCUUAAUUAGUUUAGCUUAACCGUAGUUUAAUACUUACUCCGGCCGUCACGUGCCGACCUGACGUUAGUAGCUUUUGGACUGGAGAUGGGUCCCACACGUUUGACUGACGGACCCGACCCGGGUCGAGUCGAUGCGUGGCGUCAGAUUUCUUUACUCCAAGCGACCUCUGGUCAAAAUGCUGAGUAGUAUUAUCCAAACGUGCAGGAUAAUUAAUUAGGGUGUCAAAACUAAUUGUUCCAUGUUUGGAAGCUUUUGCCCAUGGCGACAAAUGGUUAGGGCUGCAAAGAGUGUGCAAGUGGGGAUCAAGUGACGAUCAUGCAUUUUGGUACAGGACAAUGCCUUUGACCUUCUGGGGCGUUAGGUGCCAACUGAUGAUGAUGCAUCCUGCAAAAAAAAAAAGGGAGGGGGACUUUAGUUUGUUCGAUCGAUCGUAGUGUGCCGAAUUAUAUUUAUUUAGGGUUUUUAAGUUGUGUUGAUGUCAAUGCAAGGUGGUUACAAAAAUGAGGACUUGUUGGGAGCACUCAUUUGGCUUCUAGAAGAGAUUUUGGUAGGGUUAGUUGGUGAUUUUCUGAUCAAAUUUGUGCAGAAAAGGAAUUAAACUGAUCGAUCGUCCGAUUUAAUUAGUUUUUUUUGUGAGGAUUCAACUAGUUAGUUUGAAGCUUGAAAAUGUUCACAUCUUUCGAAUAAAAGAAACUAGUCUGAGAAUUAAUUAUUUAUGUUUACACACUGCUAUAUAUUGAUAUAUAUCGACGGCACUGAUUAAAUAUGCAGCCACAAAUUUUCCUCAAAACAAGUAUGCUGCCACAAGUUAAGUAUAUAUACUUCCUUUUGAAACCUCACAAGUUAAUACUAAAUCCACUCAGAACAUGUAGUGCUUACCCAUUACUGAUGUUCCUGUGAAUGUAUAUGUUGAUCUACAGACUGGUCACUGUAACUGCUGAAGAAAUUAGAUGUACUGGGAUUGCAUAUAUGCCAGCCGAGAAGCGAGAAUGUAUUGAUCACACGCAGCAUUUCUUUUGUCAGGUAGGGUUACAUAUAUAAGGCUCAUUGGUUCGAGUUGCUCAAGAGUAAUGAAGAAUUUUUGUGUGUGCCACUAUAGGACAUAUAGUACAUAUGUAAUAUCCGGAGAUAACACCAUUUCUCUUGUUUAAACUUUGAAUAAACCAAGCGUGCAAUGAAUAUACUACUACAGAAGUCAAAUAGUGUUGAGUAUGCAAAGAAGGAUGCCACUAGAUUGAACUGGUUUGACUCAAAACAAAUUUUGUUAUUUUAUUUUUACUUAAGGACAAAAUUGAGUAGGUGCAUCAGGGAGGGAGUACUAAAGUUGUGUGAUGUGGACGAAGUAAAGUGUGUGCAUGAUUCUCCCACUUAGAUUAAAAUCUUGUUUGUCACAGUUACACACAUAAAUGUAGUAUCUUUAGAAUUUUAGUGAGACCUACGGAAAUUAUUUUUCGGCUCCAAUCUUAAGUGUGUGUUAAAAGUAACAUAUUCAUGCAUAUGCUCCGUGUGCAUUUUUUAAUGUGAUCGAAAAAAAAAAGGUAUAGCAGUUUAAAAAUAUAUAGUCCCUCCAUUUAGACUCAUCACUAUUAUGAUUUGAUUUUCUUUUCUUUCAUUGAGGGGGACGGAGAGAGUAGGGGAAAAGGUAUAAACAUUCUUUUUUUUAGAACUGGUAUAAACAUUCUAGAAUGUUCCUUAUCAGCAAGCAGGUCCUAGAAAAUUAUAGUACCAUAUUUUCUUUGGAGAAUAUAGUUCUGUGUUUAGUUGUUUAGGAAAAAAAAUUUGACGUAUACGGACACAUGUUUAAAGUAUUAAGCGUAGACUAAUAACAAAAUAAAUUAUAGAUUGCACCUGUAAACUGCGAGACGAAUCUAUUAAGUCUAACUAAUCCGUCAUUAGCAAUUAUUUACUGUAGCAGCACAUUGUCAAAUUAUGGCAUAAUUAGGCUCAAAAGAUUUGUGUCGCAAUUUACAUGCAAACUGUGUAAUUGGUUUUUUUAUUCACAUUUAAUGCUUCAUAUAUGUAUACGAAUAUUUGAUGUGACGGAAAAGUUGAAACUUUAAAGGGAACUAAACGCUCCAGUACUAUUGGUUGCAAACUUUGAUAAAUUUAGUGGUUUAGAGAGAAGGCUAGAGGAGAUCCUUUGACUGGAGCAUCGUCAUCGUGGUCAAACUCGACAAUGCAUACAACAAGCUAUAGUAACUGAUUAGCUAGCUACUA